GGAGUUGUGACUCAGUGGUAGAGUGCUUGUCUAGCAUGUAUGAUACACUGGGUUCAAGUCUCAGCACCA
Molecule: transfer RNA, 69 nt
Filed under: Ictidomys tridecemlineatus (thirteen-lined ground squirrel)
Lineage: Eukaryota; Metazoa; Chordata; Mammalia; Rodentia; Sciuridae
Description: Spermophilus tridecemlineatus (thirteen-lined ground squirrel) tRNA
Rfam family: tRNA
About the family: Transfer RNA (tRNA) molecules are approximately 80 nucleotides in length. Their secondary structure includes four short double-helical elements and three loops (D, anti-codon, and T loops).
Source: Rfam by way of RNAcentral